This 23-nucleotide unclassified non-coding RNA is filed under the name Dictyostelium discoideum. The record is from RNAcentral. Lineage: Eukaryota; Evosea; Eumycetozoa; Dictyosteliales; Dictyosteliaceae.
GACAUAGCGCUUGAUAGGCCAUU